This 435-nucleotide ribosomal RNA is filed under the name uncultured bacterium. RNAcentral's name for it is "partial 16S ribosomal RNA". It matches the Rfam family "Bacterial small subunit ribosomal RNA", at positions 28 to 507 of the family's 1533-position model. The record is from RNAcentral.
GAUGAACGCUGGCGGUAUGCUUAACACAUGCAAGUCGAACGGACUCUUCGGAGUUAGUGGCGGACGGGUGAGUAACGCGUGAGAAUCUGGCUUUGGGUUCGGGACAACCACUGGAAACGGUGGCUAAUACCGGAUGUGCCGAGAGGUAAAAGAGAAAUUGCCUGAAGAUGAGCUCGCGUCUGAUUAGCUAGUUGGUGAGGUAAAGGCUCACCAAGGCAGCGAUCAGUAGCUGGUCUGAGAGGAUGACCAGCCACACUGGGACUGAGACACGGCCCAGACUCCUACGGGAGGCAGCAGUGGGGAAUUUUCCGCAAUGGGCGAAAGCCUGACGGAGCAAUACCGCGUGAGGGAAGAAGGCUCUUGGGUUGUAAACCUCUUUUCUUAGGGAAGAACAAAAUGACGGUACCUAAGGAAUCAGCACCGGCUAACUCCGUG